AUGAGAUGCAGUUUCAAUGCAGACAUCAAGUGUGAUUAUAUAAACAACAAUCUGGCCGAGUCUUUUAAUAACUGGAUAAAAGAUUAUAAAGACUUGCCUGUUGAUGAGCUUGCUGACACAUAUAGAGAAUUGUUGAUGAAACUAGUAUACAAAAGAAGGAGAAUUGGGGAGAAAUUGAGGGGAAAGAUCAUUCCUGCUGUUAUUCAACAGAUUUUCAAUAGGACUAGAGGGCUUGGUCAUCUAAAAGUUGGAAAAUCAGGUAAUGGUAGUUGUGAAGUCAGGGACACAAGCAAAAACAGUCUUAGGCAUGUUGUGAAGGUUGACAAACAUGAAUGCACUUGUUUGGAGUGGCAGCACACCGGAAAGCCUUGUGAGCAUGCUCUAGUAUUUUUGAUGGGGAGGAGAAACCCCAAAUGGGUAGACUAUGUUCAUAAUUAUUUCUCCUUGGACAAGUUUAGGGCAGCUUAUGCAGGUGAGAUUGAG
Molecule: ribosomal RNA, 483 nt
Filed under: Triticum aestivum (bread wheat)
Lineage: Eukaryota; Viridiplantae; Streptophyta; Magnoliopsida; Poales; Poaceae
Description: partial small subunit ribosomal RNA
Source: RNAcentral